Molecule: ribosomal RNA, 1367 nt
Filed under: uncultured bacterium
Lineage: Bacteria
Description: 16S ribosomal RNA
Rfam family: Bacterial small subunit ribosomal RNA
Source: RNAcentral
ACGCUGGCGGCGUGCCUAAUACAUGCAAGUCGAGCGAACGGACGAGAAGCUUGCUUCUCUGAUGUUAGCGGCGGACGGGUGAGUAACACGUGGAUAACCUACCUAUAAGACUGGGAUAACUUCGGGAAACCGGAGCUAAUACCGGAUAAUAUUUUGAACCGCAUGGUUCAAAAGUGAAAGACGGUCUUGCUGUCACUUAUAGAUGGAUCCGCGCUGCAUUGGCUAGUUGGUAAGGUAACGGCUUACCAAGGCAACGAUGCAUAGCCGACCUGAGAGGGUGAUCGGCCACACUGGAACUGAGACACGGUCCAGACUCCUACGGGAGGCAGCAGUAGGGAAUCUUCCGCAAUGGGCGAAAGCCUGACGGAGCAACGCCGCGUGAGUGAUGAAGGUCUUCGGAUCGUAAAACUCUGUUAUUAGGGAAGAACAUAUGUGUAAGUAACUGUGCACAUCUUGACGGUACCUAAUCAGAAAGCCACGGCUAACUACGUGCCAGCAGCCGCGGUAAUACGUAGGUGGCAAGCGUUAUCCGGAAUUAUUGGGCGUAAAGCGCGCGUAGGCGGUUUUUUAAGUCUGAUGUGAAAGCCCACGGCUCAACCGUGGGGGGUCAUUGGAAACUGGAAAACUUGAGUGCAGAAGAGGAAAGUGGAAUUCCAUGUGUAGCGGUGAAAUGCGCAGAGAUAUGGAGGAACACCAGUGGCGAAGGCGACUUUCUGGUCUGUAACUGACGCUGAUGUGCGAAAGCGUGGGGAUCAAACAGGAUUAGAUACCCUGGUAGUCCACGCCGUAAACGAUGAGUGCUAAGUGUUAGGGGGUUUCCGCCCCUUAGUGCUGCAGCUAACGCAUUAAGCACUCCGCCUGGGGAGUACGACCGCAAGGUUGAAACUCAAAGGAAUUGACGGGGACCCGCACAAGCGGUGGAGCAUGUGGUUUAAUUCGAAGCAACGCGAAGAACCUUACCAAAUCUUGACAUCCUUUGACAACUCUAGAGAUAGAGCCUUCCCCUUCGGGGGACAAAGUGACAGGUGGUGCAUGGUUGUCGUCAGCUCGUGUCGUGAGAUGUUGGGUUAAGUCCCGCAACGAGCGCAACCCUUAAGCUUAGUUGCCAUCAUUAAGUUGGGCACUCUAAGUUGACUGCCGGUGACAAACCGGAGGAAGGUGGGGAUGACGUCAAAUCAUCAUGCCCCUUAUGAUUUGGGCUACACACGUGCUACAAUGGACAAUACAAAGGGCAGCGAAACCGCGAGGUCAAGCAAAUCCCAUAAAGUUGUUCUCAGUUCGGAUUGUAGUCUGCAACUCGACUACAUGAAGCUGGAAUCGCUAGUAAUCGUAGAUCAGCAUGCUACGGUGAAUACGUUCCCGGGUCU